UUCUCCAUCCCAAACUUUUUGAAUAUCUCUCCAAUAUACUUUGUCUAUUUGGUGAAGGUUCCUUCUUAUUGCUUAGUUAGACAACUCAAGAAGGAGGGUGAAUUGGGUUUUUCAAAAAUUUAAAUAACUAUGUGCUGUUUUGAAAAAUAGUGAAGUGAGUGAGUAGAAAUAUUGCAACACAAUGAGCUAAAAUAAGAUAUAAAUAAAAAGCAAUAAAGGAAGCAAACAAACCAUAAACUCAAUCAAAUUUUAUAAUGGUUCAGUGUACCCCA
Molecule: long non-coding RNA, 272 nt
Filed under: Elaeis guineensis (African oil palm)
Lineage: Eukaryota; Viridiplantae; Streptophyta; Magnoliopsida; Arecales; Arecaceae
Description: long non-coding RNA (EGUI_LNC014698)
Source: RNAcentral